ACGAAGACGGCGCCUGGGGUGACUCUCCGCACCCGUAAGUUCAUGACGAACCGUCUCCUCUCAUGCAAGCAAUUCGUGCUUGAUGUGAUCCACCCCGGCCGCGCCAACGUGUCCAAGGCGCAUCUCAAGGAGCGUCUGGCCAAGAUUUAUGAGGUUAAGGACUCGAACUGCAUCUUUGUGUUCAAGUUCCGCACCCACUUCGGAGGCUGCAAGUCCACCGGCUUCGGCCUCAUCUACGAUAACCUCGAGGCUGCCAAGAAGUUCGAGCCCAAGUACAGGCUCAUCAGGAACGGGCUAGCCACCAAGGUAGAGAACUCACGCAAGCAGAUCAAGGAGAGGAAGAACAGGACGAAGAAGAUCCGUGGAGUCAAGAAGACAAAGGCCGGGGAUGCCAAGAAGAAAUAA
This 405-nucleotide ribosomal RNA is filed under the name Triticum aestivum (bread wheat). RNAcentral describes it as "partial small subunit ribosomal RNA". Lineage: Eukaryota; Viridiplantae; Streptophyta; Magnoliopsida; Poales; Poaceae. The record is from RNAcentral.